AGAAGAGCCGAUGCUGACGUCAAAGAACAGAGAGUUACACAAAGGUGUGUGGGCUUUUCACUGAUGUUGACAAAGAGAAUCAACGGAACAUGAUGAAGGCCCAGAAACAAACAAAUAUGUGUGUACAUACAUAUAGAGACAGAGAGAGAGAGAGACAGAGAGGGAAAUGGUUCAUUUUAUGUGUCAACUUGCCCUGGUUCUCAGGCCUUCAGACAGGCUGGGAUGUCACCAUUGACUACCCUGGUUCUUGGGCCUUCGGGCUUGGACUGGACCUACCCCACCAGCUUUCCUGGGCCUCCCACUUGCAGAUGGCAGAUGGAGGGAUUUCUCAGUCUCCAUAAUCAGACUAGAGGAAGGAGCGGAAGCAGAGUUGGUCUGAGAAAGCGGGGCUGACGAGGGCAGCAAGUUUCCGUGACAGAUCAAGCUUCUUCAGAAGAACAGGAGUGUAAGAACACUUGAGCUAGGACAUCACAUCCAGGGCACCAUGCAGGUGUGAAAAUGAUGCUUCCCUUGGGAAAGGAGAAGACGGCCAUGAUGCCGUAAAGAAGAUGGAGGAAAUGACACAGGCAAAUCUGGAACCCUGACCACUGUCACACAGAGCCUAGGUGGCAGCAAGCCUGGGUCACCUUUAGAGAGACCAUGGAGGGAAGUCCCAGGACUCCGGGCAGUUUCCAAGGCCAGCAACUGAUCACAGAUUUCUUCCCAUUGGCUGGAAGUAUAAUAAACACACGUUACAGCCUGACUGACUCCAGAGAGAAUCCUCUAACGGUUCAGGGGAAAGAGGAGAAAAUGCAGCUCUUUGCCCUUUUCCCUCCCUCUUAGCAUGAGUCGAAUGCUAACCUGAAAGCAGCUUUGAAGGUGGACUGGACAUGCUUUCUCUUAGACAAGGCGGCACAGUGACAGCAGGACAUGGACGAAGAGGGGGGAGGGCAGCGCAUGUGUGGUGGCCGUUAUCCCUCCAUCUGAAAUGUCGCUGAGGACGCCGGCCUAAACAGCAAAAGCCACACGCAGUCAUCGUUUUAACAGCACAUGGGUUUCUAGUCACUUAACUUUCAAUCAACACUCACUGAAAACUGGCAUUAUGCUAAGUUCUGUGGAUACAACAGAGGACAAACCAGAGCUCCUGGUCCUUCAGACUUUUCAUUUCAGGGCAGGGGGCAGGUUGGGGAUGGAGGGAGAGAUAACAGACAAGUAAAUAAACAAACAAGAUAAUUUCAAGAACUCAUAAGAGUUAUGAUAAUGAUAAACCAGGGUAAUGUGAUAGAGAGUGACCGGAGGCAGGGUUAGUUUAGGUCAGUGUUGGCCAACACAGUAACCAUGAGUCACAUGUGGCUCUCAUGACUAGUUGAGCUUACCUGCAAGAGAUGUGCUGGAUUUCGAAGACUUAGCGUGAGAAAAAGAAUGUCCAACCUCUCCUUGAUAUUUCUAUACUAAUUGUAUGUUGAAAUGAUAGUAUUUUGGAUAUAUUAGAUUAAAUAAAAAUAUUAUUAUAAUGAA
This 1497-nucleotide long non-coding RNA is filed under the name Equus caballus (horse). RNAcentral's name for it is "lncRNA (ENSECAG00000057363.1)". The record is from RNAcentral. Lineage: Eukaryota; Metazoa; Chordata; Mammalia; Perissodactyla; Equidae.